This 407-nucleotide ribosomal RNA is filed under the name uncultured bacterium. Its description in RNAcentral is "partial 16S ribosomal RNA". It matches the Rfam family "Bacterial small subunit ribosomal RNA", at positions 28 to 527 of the family's 1533-position model. The record is from RNAcentral.
GACGAACGCUGGCGGCGUGCCUAAUACAUGCAAGUAGGACGCAGUUGCGAACGGGUGAGUAACGCGUAGGUAACUACCUAUUAGAGGGGGAUAACUAUUGGAAACGAUACCUAAUACCGCAUACUUGUAGAUGGACCUUCGUUGUAUUAGCUAGUAGGUAGGGUAAUGGCCUACCGAGGCAACGAUACAUAGCCGAUGUGAGAGGGUGAUCGGCCACACUGGGAAUGAGACACGGCCCAGACUCCUACGGGAUGCAGCAGUAGGGAAUCGUCGGCAAUGGGGGGAACCCUGACCGAGCAACGCCGCGUGAGUGAAGAAGGUUAUCGGAUCGGAAAGCUCGGUUGUUAAGGAAGCGGUACUUAAAGAGAAAGGGACGGCUAACUACGUGCCAGCAGCCGCGGUAAUUG